Molecule: long non-coding RNA, 631 nt
Filed under: Homo sapiens (human)
Lineage: Eukaryota; Metazoa; Chordata; Mammalia; Primates; Hominidae
Description: HSALNT0047184
Source: RNAcentral
AGGAGAACUGCAGAAUACUGGUCCUAUAUUGGGGAGUGGAGAAUCCAAGGCUUUUAAGGGGUAGGAUUAGGAUCCAGGCCAAUAUGCAAGAAGUCAUUGGGCCCAGAAGCUAAUAGAAGAUAUGGUUCUUGCCCUUGGAAAGAAGCUGACUGGUUUGGGGAAGAAGAUUUGCAUGUGUGAAACCACAACAAAGUGUCUAGGAAUGAAGACAAAUUUGUGCUAAGUGGUGUGGAGUUGACCACAAGCCACAAGGGGGUCUAUGUAGGAGGGUACAGGAGAGGGACAGGCCCACCAGGGAGUAUCCCAGAGGAAGUGGGAAUAGAGCUGGAUUCUGAAGGAUUUGGAAGGAGAAGAAAGAAGCAAAGUCUUUUAAGGGUAAAGAAGGACAUGAACAAAGUGGGUGGUGGUGACAAUAUCUCUGCAGAGACUGAGGGAUGGAAAACAGACCGGUUCUUCUUCAGACAAUGGAAAAACUCUCUGCUGAGAAAUACUUGUUGGCAAAAACCUUUCAAAGUCCCCAUUCUUGGAUCUGACUCGGCUUCACCAUUUCUCUAACCACCAGCCAAAUCUAGGCGCUCUUUUCCUCGUUUCCGGAUUCUUUUUUAAAAUUAAAAAUUUAAAUUUAUUAAUU